CGUGUAGGCGGCUGAAUAAGUCAGAUGUGAAAUCCCUGGGCUUAACCCCAGGACGUGCAUUUGAAACUAUUCAGCUUGAGUAAGGGAGAGGAAAGUGGAAUUCCUGGUGUAGAGGUGAAAUUCGUAGAUAUCAGGAGGAACACCGGUGGCGAAGGCGACUUUCUGGCCCUAUACUGACGCUGAGACGCGAGAGCGUGGGUAGCAAACA
This 208-nucleotide ribosomal RNA is filed under the name uncultured Syntrophaceae bacterium. RNAcentral describes it as "partial 16S ribosomal RNA". It matches the Rfam family "Bacterial small subunit ribosomal RNA", at positions 568 to 774 of the family's 1533-position model. The record is from RNAcentral. Lineage: Bacteria; Pseudomonadati; Thermodesulfobacteriota; Syntrophia; Syntrophales; Syntrophaceae.